GGUUCCUUUCCUAAUUCCUACCAGUUUAUCUAAGUGUGGAGGCCAAGGCCUGAUGAGUCACAGCGUCACAUCUCAGGGCCCUGAAAGUCGCCCUUUCCUGAGACUUCAGACUCCUUCAAGUGCUGCUAACAAGAGAGGAGGCUCCUCCACCACCCACCGGGAAAGAGAAUCAGGAGAGAGAGAGAGGCAUGGGGGAGCCUGACAGGAAGUGAGGAUUCGAGACUUCAAAUGCAAACAUUAUGAAAAACAAGCAACAUCUGCAAACAGGCUUCAUCCGUGCUUCCAAACGAACACAUGGCAAAUCCUGAGAAGAGGCCCUGAGCCCAUCUCGAGGGAGGUGCAAGGCAAGAGGGGACCCAGCUGGUGACUGUCCGUCCUUCUGCCCCCGGAGUUCAUCAGAAACAGUCUGGAAGCCCAAGUGAAGCAAGACACUCAAGGUCAAGGUUUCAGAUUUCUGGUUUAUUUCUUUUUUCUUCAGGAACAAGAAGGGCACAUGAUACUUCUGUGACUUCCCCAAGAUAACCUAAAUUGUAUGAAAGGGAAUGAGGAAAGCGGGCUUCCGUCCAGAGUCAAAAUUCACCCAGUCUUCACCAGCAAAAGAUAUUAGACUGUUCUAGGCCAGGGACAAAUAACCAGUCCACCAUCCGCCGUGAGCCCUCGGCUGCCCACUGCUCCGGCUCUUUCCCAGAACUUUCUCCUCUUCUCUUAAUUUAGCACCAAAAGGGUUAAUAUGUGACGCAGCACAGGGACCUCUGAGACACCUGCCUGGGAUGGGGGGUUCCAUUCGACUGACCUAGGACCCAAGACAUUCAGGAACCUCGAAGCAAACAGGCGACACUCUUUCCCAAGCCGGGAAGAGUAAACAGCAGCAGGAAUCAACAGUCACCAGGGUAUAAUUGUCAUUAGUAUGUAAAUUUUAAAAGCUCAGUCAAAAAUAUCAAUACCUCCCACUUAAUUUAUUACUAUAUAAAGAUGGAUGGUAGUGAAGCACGACAUUGAUUUUCAGAGUCCUUAAAAAAAAAAGGGUGAGGAAGAAAAUUGUCAAAGACAACACAAAAUGCUGUGUCUCAAAAUUAAUCAUUGUGCUUUUUUCAAACACACACACACACACACACACACACACACACACACACAUAAGUCACUGUACAGCAGCCUGUGUAGUUCAAUCUUAUUUGAUUGCCUUUUCUGAAAAUGAAGAAAUGGAAUAGGCCACUUAUGUAAAGAGCCCUCUCGGAAUGGAUUAAAGACGGGUGAGCAUUUUUACUGUAUCGACAGCAAACCAUUAGGUAGCCACACUCCAGCCCGGUCACUGAGAGGAAAUCGAAGAGAAUAGUUCCCCGGCAGGGCCAGGCAAGACAACCUAUCAGUCCAGGUCCUCAGCCAGCCCGGCUGUCACCGAUCAGCCCAAUCCAGGCCCUGCUCCUGUUCCCACUUGUCAUAAUGACACAGUCUCACCAUCCUCAUAUUUGCUAAAAUGUUUUGAAGUAGGAGCAGUCGUGACCACUGAACAAACAAGCCAACUCAUUAUCAGGUUGAAAACUGUUCUGGGAAGCCUGUAACCUAGGGAUUGUGUUUGUGUCGGAAAUGACAUGGAAAUCGGUCUCUAAUCAUCCUCUGUGCCAUUAAAGGAUGGGUCACUUCCCUGCACUUGACAUUUGGAGAUGUUUGCAUUUAUACAGAAGGAGAAGGGGACCGGAGAGGGAGGAUUUUAAGGGAGCAAAACGAAAAAGAAAACAAUAAAGAUGUCGAGAUGUAUUCAUUUUUUCCGUCUGUACUGUCACGCCACUUAUUUUGUUUGGCUUUUGUUUCUGUUUUCAGCCUUUUGGCUGUGUGUCUUUUGAAUAAAGCCGUCUCCUGAUUAAAGCAGAUGAACCUGGGGGUAGCCUAGAUAGGCACUCUGUCACCUAAAGAGUGAAGAUUUCCAAAAGAAUAGAGAUGCUCAUGUUUUAUCAUAAUAAAAGAAGGCUCUUAUUUGUCUCCUAUUUCCUGAAUUCCAGGGCUCUACCUCCCACCCUCUUCGAAGGACCCCGUGAACUGUGGAUGAUUAUCCUGGGUUUUAUUAGAGUAUCUAGGGAAACAUUUGUCUAUAGAGAUGCUCCACCAAGAAUCAGGCUACAAGCCAAGAGCAGUACUUCACAUUCAUCAGACUAGAAAUAUGCAUCUUGUAGAAAAGCAUCUUGUCAAGAGAGCCCCAGUAUCCAAUAAGGGCUGCCUGUCUGGGUCCCUGCUAUCAGAAUGAAAUUUCUGAUUUAUCAGAAUGCUUCCACUGCGUUAAGCAAUAAUAUAGUUCCCCUCCUCGCUUUCCUUACAAAGUAGAGCUGUGGCUCAAAAAUAAACAUCAAGUUACUAGAUGUCUUCCUGCUAUAAUUAGAUUUAAUUCAUUAUCUUUCGUUUCAAUAAAAUCACAGGAAAACACAGGGAUGUAAAUGUGUAGGCUAAUUGCUUAUGGAAAUUCAGGUGCCACACUUGGUAUAAAUUUACCCCUUGCAAGAGAAAAACACAGUUGUGUCAUUAUCGUAGAAUUUUACAACAAUAUGUAAUUAUAGAGAGAAGCAGGUGUAAUUAGCAAGUCUUUCCACGAAGCAGGUAGCAUUCUUGGUUAAAUAUUUACAGCCGUGCAAACAGACGGUAAUAAUGAGAGUUUUCUCAGCCACACAUUUCAGAGCAUCCAACAAAUAUUAUGAAAAGUGGUCAUUAUCAACCCAGCAAGCACCGCUUUGCCUUCUAGCUUGUAAGGAACGCUUCUGCAGAGUUUGCAAGACAAGAAUCCAGGCUGAGUCGGCAGUGCGGUUUCAACAGUGAUGAAAACAAGUAACAAAGAUGCCUUUUCCCCUUGUUGCGGCAGAGAUGAGCAAUUAAAGCUGCAUAUUUAGAGAUGACAUCAGCCAGGAGUCCUGCACAGAGAGAAAAAUUCAUUGCAUUUCCCCGGCCCUUCUUCUUUCUCUUUCUCUUUCCUCUUUCUGUCCAAAGAAACCGUAAAGAUGCCGAAGGCUGCAGGCGAUGCAAACUCCAAACUGCCCACCAAGGGUCAGUCAGACCUGCAGCUGUUGCACAAAAUAAAAUCAACGCAGCUCACCCUGGGCAAACACCCUCUGUGGCUCUUUAUUACCAAAUGAUAUGAACUUUGACCCAACCUGAACAAAAUUUAAUAUUUUUCUGCCAAAUAUUUAAAAAAUUCAUUCUGGAGCUCGUAAGGAGUCAGGGAGUCUGUGAGCCGUAAUUUGACAUCUGAAUUAUUCCGAGGCUAAUACGGAAAGCUAUUCAGAAGCUUAUUUGGAGACGUGUCAAUCAAGAUAUCACUUGUGCAGGGAAGAUGGACUCGGGCUUAGGAGUGUGGCUAGCUUUCAAGGUUCCACAGAAUAAAAGGCAGGCAAGCUCUGAUGAAUAUGUUACGUCUUCAUUCUCGACAAUGACAUUUUUCUUUUCUUGAUAGAAUCUGCAAGACCUAAGAGAGCCGGG
This is a long non-coding RNA of Ictidomys tridecemlineatus (thirteen-lined ground squirrel), 3459 nucleotides long. RefSeq lists it as uncharacterized. The record is from RefSeq and is a predicted model, not a curated record. Lineage: Eukaryota; Metazoa; Chordata; Mammalia; Rodentia; Sciuridae.